UACAGAGGUCCCCAAGCGUUGUUCGGAUUCACUGGGCGUAAAGGGUGCGUAGGUGGCUGGAAAAGUUUGAUGUGAAAUCUCCAAGCUUAACUUGGAAAUGGCAUUGAAUACUGUCUGGCUUGAGGUUUGGAGGGGGGACUGGAAUUCUCGGUGUAGCAGUGAAAUGCGUAGAUAUCGAGAGGAACACCAGUGGCGAAGGCGAAUCACUGGACAGAACCUGACGCUGAGGCACGAAAGCUAGGGGAGCAAACGGGAUUAGAACU
Molecule: ribosomal RNA, 263 nt
Filed under: uncultured bacterium
Lineage: Bacteria
Description: partial 16S ribosomal RNA
Rfam family: Bacterial small subunit ribosomal RNA
Source: RNAcentral